UUGAUCUUAAAUUUAGCAUCUGCAUCCUAACACAUCAAAUAUGAUAUAAGAUUGACAAAAGACCUUGUCAAUAGCCAGUAUAUUCAAAAUUUAAAAUCAAUUAACUUGGCAACACAAACAAUGCACAUGCUCAACAAGACAAUUUGCUGAAACCAGUAAGGCAGUAACAAUAAGUGACAUCAAAAUUGAAACUCAACAAAGCUGGAAAGCAAAAUUUACAUACACCACCUAAACUUCUCAGUCCCAAUCUGAGUAUCUCAUAUAGGAAGGAGAAAAAAUUAUGGCUAAGUAUUUAGUUUUUACCUGGAGCUUCAUCUCAAAUGUUGCGUGCACCGAUUUGUUGUUUCCUUCAGGUCAAUAGUUCAAAUCUGUACAAUGAAACUUGAGUGACUGAGAAAUUUAUGCAAAGUAUCAGUGAAAAUUACAGGAAAGAGAGAGUGUGAGACGUGAGUGAGAAUCGACGGUACAGUGUGGUGUGGUGCUGCAGUGAAGCAAAACGAAAAUCGCAAUCGUCUUUUCUUCUGAGCGCGUAAUCGCGAUCUCCGAGUUGAAGGAAGACGAAACAGAGAAAGAGAUGGAAUCGCGAUGCAAGCCUCUCUUCAUCUGAAUGUGUAAUCGCGACUCAAUCUACUCAGCGGG
RNAcentral lists this long non-coding RNA (639 nucleotides) under Lotus japonicus. RNAcentral's name for it is "long non-coding RNA (LJAP_LNC000449)". Lineage: Eukaryota; Viridiplantae; Streptophyta; Magnoliopsida; Fabales; Fabaceae. The record is from RNAcentral.